RNAcentral lists this ribosomal RNA (1431 nucleotides) under uncultured Bordetella sp. RNAcentral's name for it is "partial 16S-23S ribosomal RNA intergenic spacer". It matches the Rfam family "Bacterial small subunit ribosomal RNA". Lineage: Bacteria; Pseudomonadati; Pseudomonadota; Betaproteobacteria; Burkholderiales; Alcaligenaceae. The record is from RNAcentral.
AGUCGAACGGCAGCACGGACUUCGGUCUGGUGGCGAGUGGCGAACGGUGAGUAAUGUAUCGGAACGUGCCUAGUGGUGGGGGGAUAACUACGCGAAAGCGUAGCUAAUACCGCAUGCCCUUCGGGGAAAGCGGGGGGAAUCUUCUGGGCCUCGCACUAUUAGAGCGGCUGAUAUCGGAUUAGCUAGUUGGUGGGGUAACGGCUCACCAAGGCGACGAUCCGUAGCUGGUUUGAGAGACUGACCAAGUCACACUGGGACCGAGACACGGGCCCAGACUCCUACGGGAGGCAGCAGUGGGGAAUUUUGACAAUGGGGAAACCUGAUCCAGCCAUCCCGCGUGUGCGAUGAAGGCCUUCGGGUUGUAAAGCACUUUGGCAGGAAAAAGAAACGGCACGGGAUAAUACCCCGUGCAACUGACGGUACCUGCAGAAUAAGCACCGGUUAACUACUACGUGCCAGCAGCCGCGGUAAUACGUAGGGUGCAAGCGUUAAUCGGAAUUACUGGGCGUAAAGCGUGCGCAGGCGGUUCGGAAAGAAAGAUGAAAUCCCAGAGCUUAACUUUGGAACUGCAUUUUUAACUACCGAGCUAGAGUGUGUCAGAGGAGGUGGAAUUCCGCGUGUAGCAGAAAUGCGUAGAUAUGCGGAGGAACACCGAUGGCGAAGGCAGCCUCCUGGGAUAACACUGACGCUCAUGCACGAAAGCGUGAGCAAACAGGAUUAGAUACCCUGGUAGUCCACGCCCUAAACGAUGUCAACUAGCUGUUGGGGCCUUCUGGGCCUUGGUAGCGCAGCUAACGCGUGAAGUUGACCGCCUGGGAGUACGGUCGCAAGAUUAAAACUCAAAGGAAUUGACGGGGACCCCGCACAAGCGGUGGAUGAUGUGGAUUAAGUCGAUGCAACGCGAAAACCUUACCUACCCUUGACAUGUCUGGAAUCCCGAAGAGAUUGGGAGUGCUCGCAAGAGAACCGGAACACAGGUGCUGCAUGGCUGUCGUCAGCUCGUGUCGAGAUGUUGGGUUAAGCCUCUGCAACGAGCGCAACCCUUGUCAUUAGUUGCUACGAAAGGGCACUCUAAUGAGACUGCCGGUGACAAACCGGAGGAAGGUGGGGAUGACGUCAAGUCCUCAUGGCCCUUAUGGGUAGGGCUUCACACGUCAUACAAUGGUCGGGACAGAGGGUCGCCAACCCGCGAGGGGGAGCCAAUCCCAGAAACCCGAUCAGUCCGAUCGCAGUCUGCAACUCGACUGGUGAAGUCGGAAUCGCUAGUAAUCGCGGAUCAGCAUGUCGCGGUAGAAUACGUUCCCGGGUCUUGUAAGCACACCGCCCGUCACACCAUGGGAGUGGGUUUUACCAGAAGUAGUUAGCCUAGAACUGCAAGGAGGGCGAUUACCACGGUAGGAUUCAUGACUGGGUGAAGUCGUAACAAGGUAG